GGAGCCGUAGCGAAAGCGAGUUUUAACUGAGCGUUCAGUUACUUGACGUAGACCCGAAACCGGGCGACCUACCCAUGAGCAGGAUGAAGCGAAAGUAAAAUUUCGUGGAGGUCCGAACCCACGAGCGUUGAAAAGCUCGGGGAUGACUUGUGGGUAGCGGUGAAAUUCCAAUCGAGCCCGGAGAUAGCUGGUUCUCCCCGAAAUAGCUUUAGGGCUAGCCUCAAGGUGAGAGAUACGGAGGUAGAGCACUGAAUGUCCUAGGGGGUAUUGCACCUACCGAAGACUAUCAAACUCCGAAUGCCGUCAUCUUAUACUUGGGAGUCAGACUGUGGGUGAUAAGAUUCAUAGUCGAAAGGGCAACAGCCCAGAUCGUCAGCUAAGGUCCCUAAAUGUAAGUUAAGUGGUAAAGGAUGUGGGAUUGCACAGACAACCAGGAUGUUGGCUUAGAAGCAGCCACUCAUUCAAAGAGUGCGUAAUAGCUCACUGGUCGAGUGAUCCUGCGCCGAAGAUUUCCGGGGCUAAAACUUACUACCGAAGCUACGGCAUCAGUAAUGAUGGGUAGGGGAGCUUCCCAUACGGGUUGAAGCAUGACCGUAAGGACAUGUGGACAGUAUGGGGGUGAGAAUGUUGGCAUGAGUAGCGAGAUGUGGGUGGGAAUCCCACAGGCCGUAAACCCAAGGUUUCCAGGGGAAGGUUCGUCCGCCCUGGGUUAGUCGGGACCUAAGCUGAGGCCGAAAGGCGUAGGUGAUGGACAACAGGUUGAUAUUCCUGUACUACCGAUAACCGUUUGAGAGAAGGGAUGACACAGUAGGAUAAGCUAAGCACACUGUUGGUUAUGUGUGCCCAAGCAUUGAGGCAGUCAAAGUAGGCAAAUCCGCUUUGAUAAUGCUGGGAUGUGAUGGGGAGCGAAAUUUAGUAGCGAAGUAGCUGAUUUCACACUGUCAAGAAAAGUCUCUAUCGAGGUUAAAGGUACCCGUACCGCAAACCGACACAGGUGGGUGAGGAGAGUAUCCUAAGGCCAGCGAGAGAACUGUUGUUAAGGAACUCGGCAAAAUGACCCCGUAACUUAGGGAUAAGGGGUGCCACCAUCAGGUGGCCGCAGAGAAUAGGCCCAAGCGACUGUUUACCAAAAACAUAGGUUUCUGCUAAGUCGCAAGACGAUGUAUAGGAGCUGACGCCUGCCCGGUGCUGGAAGGUUAAGGGGAUCUGUUAGAGCAAUCGAAGCAGUGAACUUAAGCCCCAGUAAACGGCGGCCGUAACUAUAACGGUCCUAAGGUAGCGAAAUUCCUUGUCGGGUAAGUUCCGACCCGCACGAAAGGCGUAACGAUUUGGGCACUGUCUCA
This 1343-nucleotide ribosomal RNA is filed under the name Clostridioides difficile. RNAcentral's name for it is "bacterial LSU rRNA". It matches the Rfam family "Bacterial large subunit ribosomal RNA", at positions 662 to 2023 of the family's 2925-position model. Lineage: Bacteria; Bacillati; Bacillota; Clostridia; Peptostreptococcales; Peptostreptococcaceae. The record is from RNAcentral.